CAUGCAAGUCGAGCGGAAGGCCCUUCGGGGUACUCGAGCGGCGAACGGGUGAGUAACACGUGAGCAACCUGCCCCAAGCUUUGGGAUAACCCCGGGAAACCGGGGCUAAUACCGAAUAGGACUUCCGGCCGCAUGGCUGGGGGUGGAAAGUUUUUCGGCUUGGGAUGGGCUCGCGGCCUAUCAGCUUGUUGGUGGGGUGAUGGCCUACCAAGGCGACGACGGGUAGCCGGCCUGAGAGGGCGACCGGCCACACUGGGACUGAGACACGGCCCAGACUCCUACGGGAGGCAGCAGUGGGGAAUAUUGCACAAUGGGCGGAAGCCUGAUGCAGCGACGCCGCGUGAGGGAUGACGGCCUUCGGGUUGUAAACCUCUUUCAGCAGGGACGAAGCGAGAGUGACGGUACCUGCAGAAGAAGCACCGGCCAACUACGUGCCAGCAGCCGCGGUAAGACGUAGGGUGCGAGCGUUGUCCGGAUUUAUUGGGCGUAAAGAGCUCGUAGGCGGCUUGUCGCGUCGACCGUGAAAACUUGGGGCUCAACUCCAAGCCUGCGGUCGAUACGGGCAGGCUAGAGUUCGGUAGGGGAGACUGGAAUUCCUGGUGUAGCGGUGAAAUGCGCAGAUAUCAGGAGGAACACCGGUGGCGAAGGCGGGUCUCUGGGCCGAUACUGACGCUGAGGAGCGAAAGCGUGGGGAGCGAACAGGAUUAAGAUACCCUGGUAGUCCACGCUGUAAACGUUGGGCGCUAGGUGUGGGGGACCUCUCCGGUUUCCUGUGCCGCAGCUAACGCAUUAAGCGCCCCCGCCUGGGGAGUACGGCCGCAAGGCUAAACUCAAAGGAAUUGACGGGGGCCCGCACAAGCGGCGGAGCAUGCGGAUUAAUUCGAUGCAACGCAAAAACCCUACCUGGGUUUGACUUGGCCGCAAACUCACAAAGAUGGUGAAGGCCCUACGGGGGCGGUCACAAGUGGUGC
RNAcentral lists this ribosomal RNA (971 nucleotides) under Micromonospora lupini. RNAcentral describes it as "bacterial SSU rRNA". It matches the Rfam family "Bacterial small subunit ribosomal RNA", at positions 54 to 1044 of the family's 1533-position model. Lineage: Bacteria; Bacillati; Actinomycetota; Actinomycetes; Micromonosporales; Micromonosporaceae. The record is from RNAcentral.